This 220-nucleotide small nucleolar RNA is filed under the name Hippocampus comes (tiger tail seahorse). RNAcentral describes it as "Small nucleolar RNA SNORA73 family (ENSHCOG00000012283.1)". It matches the Rfam family "Small nucleolar RNA SNORA73 family". From Rfam's summary of the family: U17 (SNORA73A and SNORA73B) also known as E1 belongs to the H/ACA class of small nucleolar RNAs (snoRNAs). Vertebrate U17 is intron-encoded and ranges in length from 200-230 nucleotides, longer than most snoRNAs. Lineage: Eukaryota; Metazoa; Chordata; Actinopteri; Syngnathiformes; Syngnathidae. The record is from RNAcentral.
CCGACGUGGAUAUCCAGCGAGUCUUUCUCCUGGCUCUGUCCUGGUGGCGUAUGGGAGCGUAGCCUCGAGCUAAGACGUACAUUCCCGUUCCACGACGUCGCACAAAAAAGUUCCAUCCCCGACUUUGCGGUCGGCGAGGAUGAACGUCCUGUAUAUUCCUACAACUUCCCAGAGUCCUUUGGGGCCGUGACUGGGGAGCCAAACCAUGCAGUGCACAUUC